GAUAUGAUAUAAUUUUAUAUGUAUUUAGAUCUAAUUUUAUAUUAUUUAGAUUAUAUCUAAAUAAAUUUUAUUUUUAGAUCUGAUAUUUGAUCAGUCUGUACAUGUUAGAUUAGAUGAUUUGAGUGGCAAAGUACUUGGAUUGAGUAAUCACCAGACUGUCUGAUCGUAGGAGCAAGUAGAGUUAUAUGACCCUCUCCUCCCAUUCAAUAGGGUGCUCUUAUAGCAUGUAAGGGUGCCACUGUGAGAUCCUAUGAAGAAGAAUGCGAAAGGA
RNAcentral lists this long non-coding RNA (271 nucleotides) under Elaeis guineensis (African oil palm). RNAcentral's name for it is "long non-coding RNA (EGUI_LNC044703)". Lineage: Eukaryota; Viridiplantae; Streptophyta; Magnoliopsida; Arecales; Arecaceae. The record is from RNAcentral.